Molecule: ribosomal RNA, 492 nt
Filed under: uncultured bacterium
Lineage: Bacteria
Description: partial 16S ribosomal RNA
Rfam family: Bacterial small subunit ribosomal RNA
Source: RNAcentral
AGUGAACGCUGGCGGUAGGCCUAACACAUGCAAGUCGAACGGCAGCACAGUAAGAGCUUGCCCUUACGGGUGGCGAGUGGCGGACGGGUGAGGAAUACAUCGGCAUCUACUUUUUCGUGGGGGAUAACGUAGGGAAACUUACGCUACUACCGCAUACGACCUACGGGUGAAAGCAGGGGAUCUUCGGACCUUGCGCGAUUGAAUGAGCCGAUGUCGGAUUAGCUAGUUGACGGGGUAAAGGCCCACCAAGGCGACGAUCCGUAGCUGGCCUGAGAGGAUGAUCGGCCACACUGGAACUGAGACACGGUCCAGACUCCUACGGGAGGCAGCAGUGGGGAAUAUUGGACAAUGGGCGCAAGCCUGAUCCAGCCAUACCGCGUGAGUGAAGAAGGCCUUCGGGUUGUAAAGCCCUUUUGUUGGGAAAGAAAAGCAGCAGGUUAAUAUCCCGCUGUUCUGACGGUACCCAAAGAGUAAGCACCGGCUAACUUCGUG